AGCGCUGGAAAUGCGAGACCGACAGCUGGUUUAUUUUUGGGUCAGUGACAGUGUGUCAAUGGCCGCAGAUGCGUCGGAAAGGAAGGCUCUGAGAUACCAACAGACCCUGCUGUAUGGGGAAUACCAUGAGCACCCGGGUGGGUCUGGCCGGAGAGAGGCCACCCGACUUCUAACAGAGAGACAAUGGAAGAAACACCACCAUCAUCACCAUCACCAUGGCCACCAUCCACAGCAUCACCGUGGCCACCAUCACCACGGGCACCACCAUGGCCACCACCAUGGUCACACACAUGGAUACGGGCACCACAGCAGGCACAGGGGUCGGCAUCACUCAGACGAGGUGGGACAUGCACAAAUGGCUACAGAGCAAGGCAACCCUUUGUCUAUAAAGAAACGUCGCUCCUACUCAAAGUGCAGAGACUGUGUAGCACGGGUACAGAGGUUCCUGGUCGCCAAGCUGGGAGAGGACUGGAUCUUUCUGGUGCUGCUGGGCAUCUCAAUGGCACUGGUCAGCUGGACCAUGGACUACACCAGUGCCAAAAGUCUACAAUUGUAUAAGUGGAUUCACUGGGAGCUGAGGGGUAAUGUCCUGCUCCAGUACCUGGCUUGGGUCAGCUAUCCCAUGGCGCUCAUCAUGUUCGCCUCCUUCUUCUGCCACCUGGUCGCCCCACAAGCCAUCGGCUCUGGUAUUCCUGAGCUGAAGACCAUUCUCAGAGGGGUCGUGUUGAAGGAGUAUCUGACUGUCAGGGCUUUUACUGCCAAGGUCAUUGGUCUGACUGCAGGUCUGGGCAGUGGGAUGCCAGUAGGGAAAGAGGGCCCAUUUGUUCAUAUCGCCAGCAUCUGUGCUGCUGUGCUGAGCAAGUGUAUGACGUUCUUCUCGGGAGUCCAUCAGAGCCCAUACUGCUACACAGACAUCCUUACAGUUGGCUGUGCGGUUGGGGUGGGUUGCUGUUUCGGUACCCCUCUUGGAGGGGUGCUGUUCAGUAUCGAGGUGACGUCCACUUACUUUGCUGUGAGGAACUACUGGAGAGGCUAUUUCGCCGCCACCUUCAGUGCCUUCAUAUUCAGAGUGCUCUCCGUGUUCAACAAAGAUGCAGUCACCAUCACUGCUCUCUUCCGCACCAAGUUCCGCAUGGACUUCCCCUUUGACCUCCAGGAGCUGCCUGCAUUUGCCAUCAUCGGGAUCUCCUGCGGCUUCCUGGGGGCCUUCUUCGUCUGGCUGAACCGCCAGGUGGUGCUGUUCAUGAGGAAACCCAACGCCAUGACACGCUUCCUCACCAGACACCGACUGAUUUUCCCCGGUGUUGUGACCUUAGUGAUAGCCAGCUUGACCUUUCCCCCUGGAUUUGGACAGUUCAUGGCUGGAGAGCUGAUGCCAAGAGAAUGCAUCAACUCCCUGUUUGACAACUUCACCUGGACCAAAAUCUGGGGCUCCCCCCCUCCCCCCAGCCUGGGGCGCUCCUCUGCCUGGCUGCACCCCGACGUCAGCGUCUUUGUCAUCCUCCUCCUCUUCUUCGUCAUGAAGUUUUGGAUGUCUGCUGUUUCGACCACGAUGCCCAUCCCUUCUGGAGCCUUCAUGCCUGUCUUCAUACUCGGUAAACAGAACCUCUUUUGCCUCGUGAGAUUCAUGGCUGCCCUCUUCCCCGAUGGGAUUCUGUUUGAUGGAAUCUUGUAUCGCAUCAUCCCAGGAGGGUACGCAGUCAUUGGAGCGGCGGCACUGACCGGGGCGGUGACCCACACGGUGUCCACGGCGGUUAUCUGCUUUGAGCUGACGGGCCAGAUCUCCCACAUCCUGCCCAUGAUGGUGGCCGUGAUCCUGGCUAACAUGGUGGCCCAGGGCCUGCAGCCCUCGCUCUACGACUCCAUCAUCCAGAUCAAGAAACUGCCUUACCUCCCUGAGCUGGGCUUUGGACACAUCAGCCAGUAUAACAUCUUUGUGGAGGACAUCAUGGUUAGGAAAGUGAAGUUUCUCUCAUUACAGUCCACCUACAGGGAGUUGAUACACCUCCUGGAUUCCACUUCUCUCAAAACGAUACCACUAGUGGAUUCAACAGACUCUAUGAUCCUUUUGGGCUCCAUCGAGCGGUCAGAGCUCCACGCUCUCUGUGAUUGGUGGCUCUCUGCAGAGAGGCGGAUCCUCAGGCAGGAACAGCGUUUGCAGGAACAGAACCAGUAUGCCAAAGACAGCUGGGAAUCCUUUGCCUUUGUGGAUGAAGAUGAUGAGGAGAGUGGAGAUAAGAGUACCCCAGUUCAGGAAGAGAGCAAUGGCCCCCUGCCAUCUCCUAAACCACAGGAGCCCUUGUCCAAUCACACAGCUCCUGGUGAGUUGAACCAUCUGCGUGGAACAAUGCUUCUAUGGGUGCCUGGCAACACCAAUUACAGUGUUGCGUUUCUUGACAUUGUGUUUGAUUGGCUGGAGCAGAUCAAAGAAUGGGAGGAGGCUGAGAUGGACAAGCCAAUGGAAAUUGAUCAGAUCCGAAUAGAUCCCUCCCCUUUCCAGCUAGUGGAGAGGACAUCAUUACACAAGACCCACACUCUCUUCUCAUUACUGGGCCUGAGUCAUGCCUAUGUCACCAGUAUCGGAAAACUGGUGGGUGUUGUUGCACUUAAAGAGCUGCAAAAGGCCAUCGAGGGCUCCACCCGUAGCGGGGUCCGGCUACGUCCCCCUCUGGCCAGCUUCAGCAACACCAGCCGAAAGUCAUCCAAACCCCAGGCAACCUCCGCUCCCUCCUCCCCGACCACCCCCUCCUCCCCUCUCUCCCAGGCUCCCAUCUUCCCCCAUGCCACUGCCCCGCCACCUCCCCCGACACAGGAGGAGAUGGAGGUGUGGAUCGAGGGCACGAGGCGGGAGGUGGCAGAGGUGAACAGCAGCAGUAGUAGUAGCAGCAGCGGAACGGGGAGCAGCAGUAGCAACAGUAGCCCCUCACUACCCCACUCCUUGCCCCUCUCCAUCCCCCUCACCUCGCCCCUCUCCAUGCCCCUCACCGUUGCUCUCUCCAUCCCCCUCGCCGCCUUCUCCUCUCCCCUCACCGCCCUCCGGCCUGUCGCAAAGCAGCAAGUGGAGGAGGAGAGUGAAGAUGAGCAGCCCAUCUAGCCUUAUAGACGAGUGAUGUUUUUUUAUAACGUUUUUUUUUAUGGUGUGAAUUUCUCUUUUAGUCUUUCUCUAUCCCUCCAUCUUCUCUCUCUCCCUAUUGCCCUUUCCCUCUUUCGCUCUCUCGCUGUUCCUUCUCGCACCCUCUUUCUUCACUCGAUGAAUGAUGUCUGUGAAUCCACGAGGAGAAAUAAUCUGGGCUCGAUAGUAGUACUUGACCUUUUAAGAUUAGAAUUGAUGUCAUUGGUUUUUAAACAGGAGACAAUGGCUACCAGUGGUGCUCCAAGAGCUAAAAAAUCAACAAGGCCCCAAAACGACCUUUACUAAACCCAUCCUCACCUUGGGAGGGAGUUUUAUGAUCACCAUGCUGGGUUGAUAGAUGACAGUGUUAAAUCAGACUGACGACAGCCAACUCAGAUGUAAUGAUGCUAGAGGUUUUUUACUUAAUGAUGCCAUGACUCCAGCUGAACAACCGCCAUCCCCCUCUGUAAUUUAGAUUAAUCGCUCACUUGAUGAUAACGCAAAACAAACACAUACUUGAUGACAUUAUUAUGAAACUUGGUGACUUUUACGUUGGUGACUUUUCCUACCUCCACAAAAAAAGCUGGGUUGUGUUCAUUAGGCACCAGAUGGAGAUAAACGGACUGAAACAAGGGGGAGUACCUCGACCUUGGCCAAUAAGAAAGGCGCAUUUUAGUUUUACACUGCGAAACAUUGUAAAACAUUACCCUUUGCAUGCCCUAAUAAACUAAACCCUAAUGUUCUUCUGACA
This is a long non-coding RNA of Oncorhynchus tshawytscha (Chinook salmon), 3863 nucleotides long. Lineage: Eukaryota; Metazoa; Chordata; Actinopteri; Salmoniformes; Salmonidae. The record is from Ensembl.